RNAcentral lists this ribosomal RNA (2930 nucleotides) under Escherichia coli. Its description in RNAcentral is "23S ribosomal RNA". It matches the Rfam family "Bacterial large subunit ribosomal RNA". Lineage: Bacteria; Pseudomonadati; Pseudomonadota; Gammaproteobacteria; Enterobacterales; Enterobacteriaceae. The record is from RNAcentral.
GGGUUGUGAGGUUAAGCGACUAAGCGUACACGGUGGAUGCCCUGGCAGUCAGAGGCGAUGAAGGACGUGCUAAUCUGCGAUAAGCGUCGGUAAGGUGAUAUGAACCGUUAUAACCGGCGAUUUCCGAAUGGGGAAACCCAGUGUGUUUCGACACACUAUCAUUAACUGAAUCCAUAGGUUAAUGAGGCGAACCGGGGGAACUGAAACAUCUAAGUACCCCGAGGAAAAGAAAUCAACCGAGAUUCCCCCAGUAGCGGCGAGCGAACGGGGAGCAGCCCAGAGCCUGAAUCAGUAUGUGUGUUAGUGGAAGCGUCUGGAAAGGCGCGCGAUACAGGGUGACAGCCCCGUACACAAAAAUGCACAUGCUGUGAGCUCGAUGAGUAGGGCGGGACACGUGGUAUCCUGUCUGAAUAUGGGGGGACCAUCCUCCAAGGCUAAAUACUCCUGACUGACCGAUAGUGAACCAGUACCGUGAGGGAAAGGCGAAAAGAACCCCGGCGAGGGGAGUGAAAAAGAACCUGAAACCGUGUACGUACAAGCAGUGGGAGCACGCUUAGGCGUGUGACUGCGUACCUUUUGUAUAAUGGGUCAGCGACUUAUAUUCUGUAGCAAGGUUAACCGAAUAGGGGAGCCGAAGGGAAACCGAGUCUUAACUGGGCGUUAAGUUGCAGGGUAUAGACCCGAAACCCGGUGAUCUAGCCAUGGGCAGGUUGAAGGUUGGGUAACACUAACUGGAGGACCGAACCGACUAAUGUUGAAAAAUUAGCGGAUGACUUGUGGCUGGGGGUGAAAGGCCAAUCAAACCGGGAGAUAGCUGGUUCUCCCCGAAAGCUAUUUAGGUAGCGCCUCGUGAAUUCAUCUCCGGGGGUAGAGCACUGUUUCGGCAAGGGGGUCAUCCCGACUUACCAACCCGAUGCAAACUGCGAAUACCGGAGAAUGUUAUCACGGGAGACACACGGCGGGUGCUAACGUCCGUCGUGAAGAGGGAAACAACCCAGACCGCCAGCUAAGGUCCCAAAGUCAUGGUUAAGUGGGAAACGAUGUGGGAAGGCCCAGACAGCCAGGAUGUUGGCUUAGAAGCAGCCAUCAUUUAAAGAAAGCGUAAUAGCUCACUGGUCGAGUCGGCCUGCGCGGAAGAUGUAACGGGGCUAAACCAUGCACCGAAGCUGCGGCAGCGACACUAUGUGUUGUUGGGUAGGGGAGCGUUCUGUAAGCCUGCGAAGGUGUGCUGUGAGGCAUGCUGGAGGUAUCAGAAGUGCGAAUGCUGACAUAAGUAACGAUAAAGCGGGUGAAAAGCCCGCUCGCCGGAAGACCAAGGGUUCCUGUCCAACGUUAAUCGGGGCAGGGUGAGUCGACCCCUAAGGCGAGGCCGAAAGGCGUAGUCGAUGGGAAACAGGUUAAUAUUCCUGUACUUGGUGUUACUGCGAAGGGGGGACGGAGAAGGCUAUGUUGGCCGGGCGACGGUUGUCCCGGUUUAAGCGUGUAGGCUGGUUUUCCAGGCAAAUCCGGAAAAUCAAGGCUGAGGCGUGAUGACGAGGCACUACGGUGCUGAAGCAACAAAUGCCCUGCUUCCAGGAAAAGCCUCUAAGCAUCAGGUAACAUCAAAUCGUACCCCAAACCGACACAGGUGGUCAGGUAGAGAAUACCAAGGCGCUUGAGAGAACUCGGGUGAAGGAACUAGGCAAAAUGGUGCCGUAACUUCGGGAGAAGGCACGCUGAUAUGUAGGUGAAGUCCCUCGCGGAUGGAGCUGAAAUCAGUCGAAGAUACCAGCUGGCUGCAACUGUUUAUUAAAAACACAGCACUGUGCAAACACGAAAGUGGACGUAUACGGUGUGACGCCUGCCCGGUGCCGGAAGGUUAAUUGAUGGGGUCAGCGCAAGCGAAGCUCUUGAUCGAAGCCCCGGUAAACGGCGGCCGUAACUAUAACGGUCCUAAGGUAGCGAAAUUCCUUGUCGGGUAAGUUCCGACCUGCACGAAUGGCGUAAUGAUGGCCAGGCUGUCUCCACCCGAGACUCAGUGAAAUUGAACUCGCUGUGAAGAUGCAGUGUACCCGCGGCAAGACGGAAAGACCCCGUGAACCUUUACUAUAGCUUGACACUGAACAUUGAGCCUUGAUGUGUAGGAUAGGUGGGAGGCUUUGAAGUGUGGACGCCAGUCUGCAUGGAGCCGACCUUGAAAUACCACCCUUUAAUGUUUGAUGUUCUAACGUUGACCCGUGAUCCGGGUUGCGGACAGUGUCUGGUGGGUAGUUUGACUGGGGCGGUCUCCUCCUAAAGAGUAACGGAGGAGCACGAAGGUUGGCUAAUCCUGGUCGGACAUCAGGAGGUUAGUGCAAUGGCAUAAGCCAGCUUGACUGCGAGCGUGACGGCGCGAGCAGGUGCGAAAGCAGGUCAUAGUGAUCCGGUGGUUCUGAAUGGAAGGGCCAUCGCUCAACGGAUAAAAGGUACUCCGGGGAUAACAGGCUGAUACCGCCCAAGAGUUCAUAUCGACGGCGGUGUUUGGCACCUCGAUGUCGGCUCAUCACAUCCUGGGGCUGAAGUAGGUCCCAAGGGUAUGGCUGUUCGCCAUUUAAAGUGGUACGCGAGCUGGGUUUAGAACGUCGUGAGACAGUUCGGUCCCUAUCUGCCGUGGGCGCUGGAGAACUGAGGGGGGCUGCUCCUAGUACGAGAGGACCGGAGUGGACGCAUCACUGGUGUUCGGGUUGUCAUGCCAAUGGCACUGCCCGGUAGCUAAAUGCGGAAGAGAUAAGUGCUGAAAGCAUCUAAGCACGAAACUUGCCCCGAGAUGAGUUCUCCCUGACUCCUUGAGAGUCCUGAAGGAACGUUGAAGACGACGACGUUGAUAGGCCGGGUGUGUAAGCGCAGCGAUGCGUUGAGCUAACCGGUACUAAUGAACCGUGAGGCUUAACCUUACAACGCCGAAGGUGUUU